GAUGAACGCUGGCGGCGUGCCUAAUACAUGCAAGUCGAGCGAACAGACGAGGAGCUUGCUCCUCUGACGUUAGCGGCGGACGGGUGAGUAACACGUGGAUAACCUACCUAUAAGACUGGGAUAACUUCGGGAAACCGGAGCUAAUACCGGAUAAUAUAUUGAACCGCAUGGUUCAAUAGUGAAAGACGGUUUUGCUGUCACUUAUAGAUGGAUCCGCGCCGCAUUAGCUAGUUGGUAAGGUAACGGCUUACCAAGGCAACGAUGCGUAGCCGACCUGAGAGGGCGAUCGGCCACACUGGGACUGAGACACGGUCCAGACUCCUACGGGAGGCAGCAGUAGGGAAUCUUCCGCAAUGGGCGAAAGCCUGACGGAGCAACGCCGCGUGAGUGAUGAAGGUCUUCGGAUCGUAAAACUCUGUUAUUAGGGAAGAACAAAUGUGUAAGUAACUAUGCACGUCUUGACGGUACCUAAUCAGAAAGCCACGGCUAACUACGUG
This 497-nucleotide ribosomal RNA is filed under the name uncultured bacterium. Its description in RNAcentral is "partial 16S ribosomal RNA". It matches the Rfam family "Bacterial small subunit ribosomal RNA", at positions 28 to 507 of the family's 1533-position model. The record is from RNAcentral.